CUCUUCCUGUUCACGGACGGGGAGCCGCCGCCGCCCCUUCCCCUUCCAAAGCUUGCGCUCUUCCUCUCUUCCCCGUCCCCUCGCGCCGCCGGCCGCCAGCCCGCCGACUUCUUCGCCUCCGGGAAGCACCGCCUUGUUUUCUGUUCGGCGGCGGCCGUUGUCGAGCUCGAGCCCGGGUACGGCGGCACGUUUUUGAGCAUGGCUGCGGCCCGAAGCGGCGGGGGUAGAGGCGCAGGGCGAGGAGCACCCGCCGGAGGCGCUCGAUGUGGCUCCCCCGUCACUCCUUCGACGCUGACUGCAGGGUUAGGAUUUGCUAUUGGAUUGGUGACUGCCGUGAGCUGAUAACAUAUCAGGUCACUAUGAUCUCCCGUCCCUAUUGAUCGAGGAUGCUUUGCUGGUUCUGCCUUUGCUCGGCCAUCCGAUUGCAGGUUGCCACCAAUGGGAAUACAGCCAGUGGACUGGUUUUGCUUGUCAGCGACCAGAACAAGAACAAGUCAGUUCUAUCUAUACAUAUUCAACUUUGGGGAUGAUUGGAGGCUCUGUGUUCAUAGUUUAUAUGGGUCAUCUUUAUAUCUGGGCCAUGGUGGCUGUGAGAGCUUUUUAACCUACUCAGAAGAUCGAGCGAAGAGAAGCAACUGUCAGGGCUCAGGCUGCUGAAUUGGUAGCUUAUAUGGCAUUCUGAUUAUACUAUUAUUUUGAACCAGAAAAUUGUCAAUGACUACAUAUAUCUUUGUGGAAACAAGUUUCAUCACUUCUUCACAGACACUUCUUCAUGGCAUUCUUAGUCGGGAGCUUGGUAACAGCUUAAACUUCAGAUCACUUGCUGUAUAGGGUUGUCAGCAGCAUAAUAAAGUGCCCGAAGUUUAUUCGCUAUUUUUCUUUAUAUUGCAGGUAAGGCUCAAUAUAUCUUUCAGUAUGCAAAUAAUUUCCAUUGAUGACGAUUUGUUUAAAAACUUCCAUCUCGUUUUAAGAAUAUUUUUAUCCUAUAAUAUGUGUAAAGAGCUUAUCGAAAUCAGAGUAAUAGACUGUAUCGUACCCAUGACAUUUACAGCCUGCUUGGUACUGAAUAUUGCAGGGAGAUGCACAGUACAUAUAAAACUAUGUAAGAAAAACUGUUUCUUGCACAUUUAGACGGAUUGUGAUAUAACUUAUAUAUUCCAUUUUACUGUAGUUUAGCAUGCUGUACAAUCCUGCUAUCCAUGGAUGAUUGCGCCUGUUUCUUUCAUGCGGUCCAUUUUCCCUUCAGGAUAUGUUUUGAAAACAUGUUAUCAUGUAGAUUUGUGCAGUCAUGGUCAACUGGUACAGAUAUGUAUAGUUUCAAAAGAACAUUACAGAUAUGUAUAGUUUCAAAAGAACAGUACGACAACUAAUUAUCGCUGAUUUGCAUCUCUCUUUUUGUUGUGUUGAUUGCUUUUGCCAAGUCAUUUUGUCCUUUACUAUAUUUAGUUAUUUACCAAUGCUUAACAAUACCACUUUUGCUUGGCUAUAGUAGAUCUUGCAGGUUGUAUGAUUCCUUUUAUACUUCCAAAUUUUUAUUAGUUACCACUAUAUACUUCCAAAUCUUGUACUGAACCUGCUCAAUAGUAGAACAGAGUUCAGUUAUCUGAAUCAUAGCAGCACACACAUACACCGCAGUUUGUAAUGUCAUUUACUAGGGGUUGCGUUAGGGUAUUUUAUUUCCAUUAUAAACUGAUAAUAAUUAUGAGUUUAGUAAGGUAACAAUAAUCUGGGUUAUAGCAGAACAUUAGAUGUGGUAUGCUUGUAUGAGUAGAAUGUAGAGUUUAUAAAUGAACUAAAAUCUGAGAGCAGGAAGUGGUAGGUUUAAUUUCAGUUAGAAAAAUUGGUGUACUGCAGCAUCAUAUAUUCAGGUAUUCCCUUGCAUUUUUUUGCCAUGUUCAAGCUUUAUACAUCCUUUGUAUAUGCAUAAAGUACGCAACAUAAACUGGAGUUCGUAGUGUCAGGAGUAAGAGGGGUGCAACUAAGUAGUAGCAUGUUACAGGAUAAGAACGGCUGUUUAGUUUAACAAUGCCCUUUAACAGUGUAACUCCAAAGAGGUCGGAUAAAAUGAAUUAUUGAUAUAUCUGAACUCUAGAGUAUAAGAUGCAUCUUCCUACGCUUCCUGAGAUCACGGUUAUCGUACCUAUUUAUUUGAGAUAUGCUAAGUGUUCCUUUGAUAGUAGAUGCAACUUGCAGCUAUUGUGGACGUUCGUUUGUUUGUGGGAAAUUUUAUCUCUUCCCUACAGUCAAAGCUCAUGUGCAAUUUGGAGAGAAAUGCACGCAUGCUAUCGCUGCAUUUGACAAUUCCUUUUAGGUAUCAAGCCAAUAGCGGCUUACGUUUCCUGGUCAUUUUUCUCUUGGAAAUGGAAGUUGUUGCUUCCUAGGUGAGCUGAGGUGAUAACUGAACUCUCUUCUACUAUUGAGCAGAUUCAGUAUUCACGUAUAUUUUCAUUAGCCCAAGGAUAGUUUUUAUUGUGUUGUGGCUGUGGGCAUCUACCGAAAAAAUAAAAGAGGAUGAGCGAGACUACUACAGCGAGAGACGGUGGCCAUGAAAGCUAUGGAGUAGAUCGAAACUUGCUUUGUGUAGUAGUUCUGAGAGUAGAUCUGAGAGUAGAUCCAAACUUGCUUUGUGGAGUAGUUCUAGAUUAGCAACAUCAUGCUGCCUUGCAAUUUUCCCUCUUCUGUUUGACCCCUUAACCUGUUCUGGGAACGUUGGGGGCCACGGCGCGGAGGGGAACAACGAGCAGCGGAGGCCGGUUGUGCGAGGCCUCCGCCUCCGUCUCCGCGGUUGCCGC
Non-coding RNA from Triticum urartu, 2792 nucleotides. Lineage: Eukaryota; Viridiplantae; Streptophyta; Magnoliopsida; Poales; Poaceae. The record is from RefSeq and is a predicted model, not a curated record.